CGAUUUGUUGUGCUUAUCACUGUUGACAUUAAUUGCUACAAUUUAGAAAGAAAAAUGGAAUUGUCUUUAUUGCACUUACAAGAGUGGAUCCAUUCACUUCGCAACUCAACGAUUGAACACUUAGAGUCACCAGAGCUCCUCUUCCUGUGGUAGUAUUCACAGCAAUAUCGUGCGGUAUUUUGACUUGCUUUAACAAUUGUGAAGUAUUCAGAUCGAAGACAAGGAGUUGUGGAGGACAUACGGAUUGGACAUUAUUGAUGAGACCUGAAUCCAAGACCCAUAAUCUGUCACAUAUAUCGAUCUAAAUAUCGUUAAUAACAGUGUUAUCUGUAUAAUUUAUGAGGAUUAUUUGAUAAGCUAAGAAUUAAAAUGAUGCAAGUAUAAUCAAUAAAAAAUAGAAUUACAUUACAAGUUUGCAAUUUGUAUUAUUUUAAUUACCCGAUAUAGAUUGUCCUAAUAAAUUAUUGCUAAAAUAAGAUAAAUAUAAUUAAUUUAAUUUUAUAUUUUUAAUUUUAUAUUUUAUCCUUUAAUAAUAUAGAAUUAUUACUAACAAAAGUACAGAAAAUAAUUAAGACGUCUCAUGGAAUGAUGCAAGAGAAUCAUUAGCAGUGUCAUUUGCCGGAAGUGUGCUAUCCUCUCAAUCGCUAAAAAUGGCUGAAUUCAAAUUGUUUACGGCAUAGGAAAAGAAUAUGUGAUGUUACAGAAAUACGUCACGUUGUGCUUUGACUACUUUUAAUAGCCAAUGUAUGUAUUUGUUCGGCGAUUUUGCACGCAAAACGAGCGAAAGAAUUGAAAAAGAAUCAAUUUAGAUGUGAAAUCAAUGAAGUGUAUCCUUGUAUAAUUAAUUAAUAAUGUAAUUGUUCAAAAUGAUAAUCUUGAUAAAAUAUUUUGCAAAAGCAUCGAAAUUUACGAAAUAACCUCUAUUCUAAAUAAUUGUUAUAAAAUUAGAAAAAAUGUAAUUUUACAAGUAUCAUGUGAAAUUUAUAUUUUUUUCAAACUUGAUAUCUUAUUAUGAAGUAUUUCUUUCAAACUGUUUAUUUAACUUUUUAAUAUAUUACUUUACACUGCAUUC
Apis laboriosa (Himalayan honeybee) is the source of this 1072-nucleotide long non-coding RNA. RefSeq lists it as uncharacterized. The transcript is spliced from 4 exons. The record is from RefSeq and is a predicted model, not a curated record. NCBI's taxonomy places the organism in Eukaryota, Metazoa, Arthropoda, Insecta, Hymenoptera, Apidae.